RNA transcript from Herpailurus yagouaroundi (jaguarundi), 1456 nucleotides. It is a transcript of the gene named crumbs cell polarity complex component 3, with no coding region annotated. Lineage: Eukaryota; Metazoa; Chordata; Mammalia; Carnivora; Felidae. The record is from RefSeq and is a predicted model, not a curated record. The transcript has 5 exons.
ACUUUCCGGGUCACGUGAACGGGAGGAGCUGGAGGAGUCCGACCGAGCUACCGACCGACGCACCGAGGGUUCGAGCCAGGUACUCGGACCGGGCACCGGAGCAAGGUCGAAGACGCCUGGGCCAGGUGCCGGGUCGCAGGUACCCCCGGCCCGAGAUGCGGUAGAAGCAGCGCGCAGGAGACGCCCGGUUCCCGGUGCCACCAGCCCGUCGCCCGGCCCAUGGCGAGCCCCGGCCUGGGGCUGCUUCUGGCGCUCGGCCUGCAGCUGCUGCCCGCCCGCUGGGGCCGGGCCUGGGGGCAAACGCUGGACCCCCCCAUAAAUGACAACAGCACCAUCACACCCUCUGACCCGGGCUCCGGCUCCCAUGGGGCGCUGUCUCAGGAGGCCAUCACCGCCAUCAUUGUGGUCUUCUCCCUCCUGGCCGCCUCGCUCCUGGCCGUGGGGCUGGUGCUGCUGGUUCGAAAACUUCGGGAGAAGCGGCAGACACAGGGCACCUACCGGCCCAGCAGCGAGGAGCAGGUGGGUGCCCGCGUGCCGCCGCCCCCCAACCUCAAGCUGCCGCCGGAGGAGCGGCUCAUCUGAAUGCCGGGGCCCCGUUGCCGCCUCCACCGCUGCUCAGGACUGCCCGGCGCUCGCUCACACGCAGCAGCCGCCACCGAGAAAACAGCCUCUGAUGUUCUCCCACGCAGCCGAGGCCCGGGCUCCCCAGGACUCCAAGGAGACAGUGCGGGGCUGCCUGCCCAUCUAGGUCCCUUUUCCAUCCAUCUCUCUCUCUCUCUCUCUCUCUCUCUCUUGCUGUGUGACCUUGGGGGAAGGCAGAGCCCUCUCUGGGCAAUCAAACCAACUAGUGCUUAAGAAUAGAAGGGAGGAAGGUGCUUCAAAGACUCUGCCCCUGAGGGGAAGGGAGGGUGGUGCUGCUUAUAUUUUAUAUAUAUAUAUAUAUAUAUAUAUAUAUAUAUAAAUACAAUACUGAGAGAGAAAUAAAAUAAUACAUUUUUUUUUUUUUUUUUCUUUUUUUUUUUAAGCCGGUGGGGCAGGAGUCAGGCUAGAUGGAGAGGACAAACUCAGGGCUCAUAGGCUGUUGAGAGAUGAAUUGUAAGGGUGCAAGAAUCCAGGGGGGGGCUUCCUGGAAGGGAGGGGCUUCCUGCUGCACCUGGGAGCCAGCUGGAGGAGGAGGAGGGAGGUGGCGGAUGGGGUACGUUUCUGAGCACAGAGAGGGCCCCCAGAUAAACUCACCAGGAAAACCAGCUUUGGGCUCAUGUGGCUUUAUUGAAGGACCAGGGUCUCCUCUGGGACCCUGAUUCUUAACCUUCAAAACACUUUUUAAGCUCAGCGACUCUGGGCCGGCUCCUAGCCUGGGACUCCUGCCAGUCACUGUCGGGUGCAGCAGGGGGUCUGAGGGCUCCUGGCCCCUUGGGGCACUGGAAAUGAGCACGUUCUGCCAGCAUGACCUCAG